CCCGACCUCGCUCUCUCUCAUUCUCUCUCGUGAGCCGCAGGGUCUCUGUGACCAGCGCGCCGGGCUGCGGACGGAGGGCAGCGGACCGUCGAGGGGUCGACCGCGGGCCGGUCGUUAGCCCGCGGCUCCGCGGUCGACUUCAAUUAGCCCGCCGAGACCAGCGCGGUGAGAACACGCCGUCGGGCGGCGGCGGGGGCGCUCUCACACCUACAGUCAGAUUGAAGGUCUGGCCACAGCGUGAAAACCACGAGUUACAUCAGAGAACGAUGCAAAUACGUGUGUAUGAGCGCCACUGUCAUAGGAGGGGAGGUCUCGUGUCAGCGAGGAUGUUGUGAAGCAGCAGAUAAUUCUCUCUCUCUCUCUCUAUCUUCUUCUUCUUCUUCUUCUUCUCCUUCCUGCUGUUGUUGUACAAGACAGACUGAGUGGAAAUGUCACUGAGCACGGUGACAGUUGAUGAGGAGGAGGAGGAGGAGGAGGGGGAGGAGGGGGAGUGGAACACGUCUGUGCGGCGGGCACGAGUGGCACGACACUGACGGCGAGGCAGAAAGAGGAAGAGAGAGAAAAUUUGAAAAAUGAAAUAAAGAAAAUCGAGGAGCGGCGUGAGAGCAGAGCGGACGACUCCCACCGAUGGUGACAGCAGACGAUGAAUGUGAGAUUUGCGCGUGUGUGUGUGUGUGUGUGUGUGUGUGUGAGUGUGUUUGAGUGUGUGUGUGCAAUUAUGUAUAACCCCCCCCCCUCUCCCUCUCUCUUUCGACCCCCUACGGUGGCCCUGAUGGGACACAGCCUUUCAUUUGCUCAUUGCGGUAAUUGGUGUGUGUGUGAGAGUGUGUGUGUGCGUAUUUCAUCCAGACGCUAUGGGACCGUGCGCUCCCAACCCAUCACCCAUCACCCCUCUCCUCCACUCCUUCACUGCUUCCUAUCUGUGUGGCUUUUCCUGAAAAAAAAAAAAAUAAAUGCUGGCAAGUGUGCGCACUCAUACCUGGCUGCUGUCGGUCCUCCGCUGCCGGGAGGUGAUGGACGGGGAGGCGGAGGAGAGCUGGAGGGCUGGAGGGCUGAUGUGGCGCGUCCGUCCGAGGAGGAGGAGAACGAGCCUCCGGUGCGCUGCUGCCUCCUCUUUUAAAAAGCCUCCUCUGGUCCAAUAGGAGGCCUGUCGGCGCUGAUGAGAGCUGACGUCACCCACCCAUCCACCCCACCCCCACCCCCCACCCUUCCGUCCUUCCUC
Molecule: long non-coding RNA, 1222 nt
Filed under: Scophthalmus maximus (turbot)
Lineage: Eukaryota; Metazoa; Chordata; Actinopteri; Pleuronectiformes; Scophthalmidae
Description: lncRNA (ENSSMAG00000025541.1)
Source: RNAcentral